UACGGAGGGUGCAAGCGUUGUUCGGAAUCAUUGGGCGUAAAGCGCGUGUAGGCGGUUUCGUAAGUCUGAUGUGAAAGCCCGGGGCUUAACCCCGGAAGUGCAUUGGAUACUGUGAAACUAGAGGACGAGAGAGGGAAGCGGAAUUCCUGGUGUAGGGGUGAAAUCCGUAGAUAUCAGGAGGAACGUCGGAGGCGAAGGCGGCUUCCUGGCUCGUAACUGACGCUGAGACGCGAAAGCGUGGGUAGCAAACAGG
This 253-nucleotide ribosomal RNA is filed under the name uncultured bacterium. RNAcentral's name for it is "partial 16S ribosomal RNA". It matches the Rfam family "Bacterial small subunit ribosomal RNA", at positions 524 to 776 of the family's 1533-position model. The record is from RNAcentral.